This 399-nucleotide ribosomal RNA is filed under the name uncultured bacterium. RNAcentral describes it as "bacterial SSU rRNA". It matches the Rfam family "Bacterial small subunit ribosomal RNA", at positions 358 to 773 of the family's 1533-position model. The record is from RNAcentral.
GGGAUAUUGCGCAAUGGACGAAAGUCUGACGCAGCGACGCCGCGUGGGUGAUGAAGGUUUUCGAAUCGUAAAGCCCUUUUCUGCGUGACGAUAAUGACGGUAGCGCAGGAAAAAGUGUCGGCUAACUACGUGCCAGCAGCCGCGGUAAAACGUAGGACGCAAACGUUAUCCGGACUUACUGGGCGUAAAGGGCGCGCAGGCGGGUCGGUAAGAGAGGCAGGAACGCUCCCUGGCUAAACCGGGAGAGGAUGUCUGAGACUGCCGAUCUAGAGUGAGGUAGAGGGGUGUGGAAUUCCGCGUGUAGUGGUGAAAUGCGUAGAGAUGCGGAGGAACACCAGUGGCGAAGGCGGCACCCUGGACCUUGACUGACGCUGAGGCGCGAAAGCAUGGGUAGCGAAC